GUGAUUUUGAGAAUGAAAUUGGAGUCCAUCCAAGCUCUCAGAUGUGAUUGGCAACAAACUUCUAGAGUAUACAAGAUGACCAGUGCGAUUAAUCAAUUACAGACAACAGGUGUUGUGCUAUAGGACUGAUCUGCAGGUUGCUUUUGGUCGGUUAUGUCUCAGUCGGGUAAAAUCCUCCACCUGUAUGUAGAGGUGAGAUCUGUCACUGAUGAAGAAGGAAAAGACCUGGGAGAUGUGGAAAAAACAGACUCCCUCAUGUUAACAGCACCAGACAUCCUUCAGUCAUCGCAGUAUGGUGGCCCUAAUGCACCACAUGGCCGGACGUCCCCACGUGGAGUCCUGCAUAAAGGUGGAAGCAGCACCCAGAGCUUGGCCUCUAGUAAAUCAACAUCUAGACACUCUGUAAGUUUUCAGCUACAUCCAGGACAUGGCUCAGACCAACCAGUGACCCAACACCAGAGAAGUUUACCUUCUAGUGAGAUAAACCAGUUAUUGUCUGCCCUUCAGACAGAUCCCGCUGGAAAUACUUGUCAUUUGGUGUGUGCUCCUUCUGAACAUGACCUCUUCUUGGGGAGGGAACAUCACUUGUCAGGACGGUUUACUGCCCCACCUACUCCCAGUGGAACUCGUAAAGCUUUCAGCCCAACUAAGAUGAAGGGAGGAGAUGAAGGGAGGCGAUCUUUUGCCACUUUCAGUUACAUUGAAAAAGCUACAAUUAAAUCAGUAGAGGGUCAGUAUAGCUCUUUGUGCCAAAGUGAGCCUCAGAAUCCUUUCAACAGAAACAUGGAGGAAAAAGCUACCCCUCUCCACCUCAGGAAAAGGCUCAGUGACCCAGUGUGGUUCAACAGCUUGGAGUCCAUGAACAACUGUAAUUCAAAACAGCUUAGUCAAGGUUUAGGAAACUCACAUAUGGGUACCCCCAGCUUUAGGAGGGCGACUCUAGACUCCAUUGCCAGAGAAGCUACCCAUCGAGCAUUGGAGGAAUUCGGUUCCCCACAACUAAGGCAAAAACUGGCAGGCAACUGUCCUGAUAGAAGUCAUAAUGUCAGGACAGGAGAGCAGCGCCGCUGUCGGUCUUGGUCUGGAUCACCAGUGAUACCAUGCAGUUCUAGAACCCUGCCCACUAAAGCAACAAUAAUGGACCAUGAGAGGAAUAGUCAGUUUUAUAGAAUUCCCAGGAGCCCUGCUACAGACCAACUGUCUAACCAUGCCAAACAAGCUUACUUUAAUAUGUCACACUCAAACGCAAACACUCAGGAGGUCUCAAACCAAAGAGUGCAAGGGUGUAGGUAUCGCCCAAAUUUACCAUCCGGUAAGCCUACAGCUAUUCAACACGAACUACCAGCUAUGAUUGUAACUCAACCAUCAAGCUAUCAACAAAUCAGUCAUUCCAUGAUUGAUAGUCCACGGCAAGCCCACAGAGUUAAUUUCAACCUGGCCAACUUCAAAAAUAAGGUAGAAGAAGGAGCUGACCAACUUAGUGGAAUGUGCAGCGCAUCCCCAGCCACAAGUCCCGAGAUGGCUCGUAAACUAGCUGAAGAAGCCACCAAAUUUUCCAUACUUAUGGAAGCCAGGAGGUCUCCAUCCCCAACCUCAUCAUCAACAGACACAGUAAGGUCUGACAGUUCCCAGUUGGGACAUUCAAGAGAGCCUCAGCUCUAUGCUAGCUUCCAGGGCCCUGGAACUCACCCUAACUGCAAUCUUCCUGUUCAGGAGCACAAAUGGAAACAAGAGUCUAUCAAGACUGUUCACCACUCUGUUCAAACAACCCCUCUUUUGCCCCACAUUGGAAGUACAUCUCCGGCAGCUCCAGCGAGGUUGAACCGAUCAGAUGUAAUAUCAUCCUCUCCCAUAAGAGACCCUCGGAUAGAGAGAACACAGUUGGUUGGGAAGGACAGCCCGACAUUGCAUCGGCAUCUGCCUUCCCAGUACACAAGGGACAAUCAUACACCUAGCUAUGAGCGUAGGCGAUAUGGUACACUCAGAGGUCACAAAGACAGCCCAGAUAGCAGCAGGACACCUUUCACAAGGCCUAACCUAGAGACACCAAGCUGGACCACUCAGCAAAAGCAUGGGACAGAGGAAUGCUUAGCCAGAGAAAAUGAAAACUUGAGGGAGAUGGACAGUCAUAAGAGGAAUAGUCCAACAACACCAGUCUCCCAAGAAAACCAUUGUAGGGUCUCAGUGCAGAAUAAUGAGAUGAAAGCUGACAUUAGGACUAACAAGGAGUGGAGUGGUACAGCAUCACAGAGCUCCAGUGGGGUCACAGGCAGCCUUAUAGAGAGCACUCUACAUGAGAAAGAUUGCAUAACCUCAGAGACAUCUAGCAAAACCAGCCAGAAGAGCCCUGACUCUGGAAACACAGGCAUACCGAUCUUGUCUGAAAGUGGACCGUUUUCACUGAGGCCUUCCUUGCACUCACAGAAGACUGCUCGUGCCAAAUGGGAGUUCCUGUUUGGGUCCCACAACGAUCAACAAGAUCAACAUGAAACAAAAGGUGUUUUCAGUUCACUGAUGUCAAAGAG
This is a long non-coding RNA of Cyprinus carpio (common carp), 2525 nucleotides long. Lineage: Eukaryota; Metazoa; Chordata; Actinopteri; Cypriniformes; Cyprinidae. The record is from Ensembl.